UGGCGGCACGCUUAACACAUGCAAGUCGAACGAGCGAAAGAGUGCUUGCACUCUCUAGCUAGUGGCGGACGGGUGAGUAACACGUGAGCAAUCUGCCUUUCGGAGAGGGAUACCAAUUGGAAACGAUUGUUAAUACCUCAUAACAUAACGAAGCCGCAUGACUUUGUUAUCAAAUGAAUUUCGCCGAAAGACGAGCUCGCGUCUGAUUAGGUAGUUGGUGAGGUAACGGCCCACCAAGCCGACGAUCAGUAGCCGGACUGAGAGGUUGAACGGCCACAUUGGGACUGAGACACGGCCCAGACUCCUACGGGAGGCAGCAGUGGGGAAUAUUGCACAAUGGGCGAAAGCCUGAUGCAGCGAUGCCGCGUGAGGGAAGAAGGUUUUAGGAUUGUAAACCUCUGUCUUUGGGGACGAUAAUGACGGUACCCAAGGAGGAAGCUCCGGCUAACUACGUGCCAGCAGCCGCGGUAAUACGUAGGGAGCGAGCGUUGUCCGGAAUUACUGGGUGUAAAGGGAGCGUAGGCGGGAUUGCAAGUCAGGUGUGAAAUUUAGGGGCUUAACCCCUGAACUGCACUUGAAACUGUAGUUCUUGAGUGAAGUAUGCGUAGAUAUUAGGAGGAACAUCAGUGGCGAAAGCGGCUUACUGGGCUUUAACUGACGCUGAGGCUCGAAAGCGUGGGGAGCAAACAGGAUUAGAUACCCUGGUAGUCCACGCCGUAAACGAUGAUUACUAGGUGUGGGGGGACUGACCCCUUCCGUGCCGCAGUUAACACAAUAAGUAAUCCACCUGGGGAGUACGACCGCAAGGUUGAAACUCAAAGGAAUUGACGGGGGCCCGCACAAGCAGUGGAGUAUGUGGUUUAAUUCGAAGCAACGCGAAGAACCUUACCAGGUCUUGACAUCGUGAGCAUAGCUUAGAGAUAAGUGAAAUCCCUUCGGGGACUCAUAGACAGGUGGUGCAUGGUUGUCGUCAGCUCGUGUCGUGAGAUGUUGGGUUAAGUCCCGCAACGAGCGCAACCCUUACUGUUAGUUGCUACGCAAGAGCACUCUAGCAGGACUGCCGUUGACAAAACGGAGGAAGGUGGGGAUGACGUCAAAUCAUCAUGCCCCUUAUGACCUGGGCUACACACGUACUACAAUGGCUGUAAACAGAGGGAAGCAAAGCAGUGAUGCAGAGCAAAACCCUAAAAGCAGUCUUAG
This 1200-nucleotide ribosomal RNA is filed under the name Hominimerdicola alba. Its description in RNAcentral is "bacterial SSU rRNA". It matches the Rfam family "Bacterial small subunit ribosomal RNA", at positions 37 to 1291 of the family's 1533-position model. Lineage: Bacteria; Bacillati; Bacillota; Clostridia; Eubacteriales; Oscillospiraceae. The record is from RNAcentral.